Long non-coding RNA from Morone saxatilis (striped sea-bass), 303 nucleotides. RefSeq lists it as uncharacterized. NCBI's taxonomy places the organism in Eukaryota, Metazoa, Chordata, Actinopteri, Moronidae. The record is from RefSeq and is a predicted model, not a curated record. The transcript is spliced from 3 exons.
UCCGCAGCAAAGAGCUUUUGUGAAAUAGUCCGCGGUAGACAGACUUCCAAAUAACAGGUAAUCUCCACCUGUCAGGUGUGUAACUGGUAGGCGUGGCUUGGGUUUGACUCCUUAUACCCACCUUCCGUAUUUGCUAUUCCUCUCCGGACGCGGCCUGCACAGGUGAUUCACAAAGCAACUACUUCAACAUUGUAACUUGCUGAACAGCAAUGAUGGUGAACUGCUGUGGUCUGCUCACUGCCAAUAAGGAACCAGUUCCUCUGAAGAGCGUGGAGGUGGAGCUGGAGGUCAAGGACCACGUGG